This 192-nucleotide non-coding RNA is filed under the name Paecilomyces variotii No. 5. Its description in RNAcentral is "Byssochlamys spectabilis No. 5 Bacterial large subunit ribosomal RNA". It matches the Rfam family "Bacterial large subunit ribosomal RNA", at positions 1018 to 1203 of the family's 2925-position model. The record is from Rfam by way of RNAcentral. Lineage: Eukaryota; Fungi; Ascomycota; Eurotiomycetes; Eurotiales; Thermoascaceae.
GGAAACAGCCCAGAACAAGAGUUUAAGGUUCCAAAAUUAUUGUUGAGUGAAAUUAAGGAUGUUUUUUUUUAAUACAAUCAGGAAAUAGGCUUAGAAGCGGCCAUUUUUUGAAGAUCUCGUAACAGAGCACUGAUUAAUUUUUAGAAAAAAAUACCGAAAAUUUAACGGAUCUAAACAAUAUACCGAAACCUU